AAAGCUACAGUCGGUGUGUUCAGAUGCCUCUUUUCAGAAAAGAGGAGGUAUCUGGACAUGCGUGCGACGUACGUCGGGUUUGC
Molecule: transfer RNA, 83 nt
Filed under: Ralstonia mannitolilytica
Lineage: Bacteria; Pseudomonadati; Pseudomonadota; Betaproteobacteria; Burkholderiales; Burkholderiaceae
Description: tRNA-Leu
Source: RNAcentral